GAUGAAGAACGUAGCGAAAUGCGAUAACUAAUGUGAAUUGCAGAAUUCCGUGAAUCAUCGAGUCUUUGAACGCACAUUGCGCCCCCUGGUAUUCCGGGGGGCAUGCCUGUCCGAGCGUCAUUGCAACCCUCAAGCACGGCUUGUCUAAUGGGCGGUUCGUCUGCGGCCAUCCGCCGGAGACGCCCCCGAAAUGCAGUGGGGAUGUUCGCUAAAUCGCAGCGUCAGGAAUGGAAAUAAACAAUGCUGACGGCUCGAUGUCGAACGUCCACCUAAGGCGUGUCGCCCCCCGGGGUGUGCCGCCCAACCUCUCUCGGUUGACCUCGGAUCAGGUAGGGAUACCCGCUGAACUUAAGCAUAUCAAUAAGCGGAGGA
Molecule: unclassified non-coding RNA, 372 nt
Filed under: soil metagenome
Description: partial contains 5.8S ribosomal RNA, internal transcribed spacer 2, and large subunit ribosomal RNA
Rfam family: 5.8S ribosomal RNA (bases 1-120)
Source: RNAcentral